This is a long non-coding RNA of Melospiza melodia melodia, 724 nucleotides long. RefSeq lists it as uncharacterized. Lineage: Eukaryota; Metazoa; Chordata; Aves; Passeriformes; Passerellidae. The record is from RefSeq and is a predicted model, not a curated record. The transcript is spliced from 3 exons.
CUCGGCUCGGCUCGGCGGACAGCUCCCACCAUGGACGCCUAGCCUAUGUGACAAAGAAGAACAAGGCAUGUCUGAGUCACGCUAAUGCCCACUACACAUCCUUGGUAUUCCCACAGCAAGAGGCACAGAAAAGCUGGUUGGACUUCAUUCCUCUAAUCAAAUGUCAGAAAUGUUGUUAAAUGGAAGCGCUUUCCCUCACUUUCAUCCCCAGCAGACAGCCCUCGAACUGCAGAGACCCUCUCGUCACAAAUAAGUUUACAAGGAAGGAACCUGUGAAGUGAGGCUGCAUUUCAGGAAACAAACCUAUGUAAGAAAAUAUCUUUGAAAAAUUAUCUCUAACAAUUCAUAGGAUUCCUGGGAAGCCAUUGAGGCACGAAAGUGCUGUGAAUAGUACUAAAACAAUCCUGCUAACUAAGGAAAAAAACAAUGUGGGUUUAUUUUCCCCCCGAUCUUUCUAGUUAACUGAAAUAUAUAGUCAUAAUUUUAUGAGUUCAACAGUUUCCAGUUUCAGUGGUAGAUUCACCAUGCACUAAAGACUGAAUUUAACCCACUACCUUCCCUAUUUAUCACAGAAGUUAUUGAUAUUCAAUACCAAUAUCAUGAAGAAUCUGGCUGUCCUUUAGCAAUUUCCAUUAAAAUGAAUCUCUGUCAUGGGAGCCAUAGAAAAAUCUCUGAUACUGGAUAUUUAUGUAUCUUAAUAUCCCUUUUCUACACCUACAUCUAC